ACGAACGCUGGCGGCGUGCCUAAUACCUGCAAGUCGAGCGGACGAAUCGAAAGCUUGCUUUUGAUUCGUUAGCGGCGGACGGGUGAGUAACCCGUGGGCAACCUGCCCUGUAGACGGGGAUAACACCGAGAAAUCGGUGCUAAUACCGGAUAACACGAAAUGUCGCAUGACGUUUCGUUGAAAGACGGUGCAAGCUGUCGCUACAGGAUGGGCCCGCGGCGCAUUAGCUAGUUGGUGAGGUAACGGCUCACCAAGGCGACGAUGCGUAGCCGACCUGAGAGGGUGAUCGGCCACACUGGGACUGAGACACGGCCCAGACUCCUACGGGAGGCAGCAGUAGGGAAUCUUCCGCAAUGGACGAAAGUCUGACGGAGCAACGCCGCGUGAGCGAAGAAGGCCUUCGGGUCGUAAAGCUCUGUUGUUAGGGAAGAACAAGUAACGCAGUAACUGGCGUUACCGUGACGGUACCUAACGAGAAAGCCACGGCUAACUACGUG
RNAcentral lists this ribosomal RNA (497 nucleotides) under uncultured bacterium. Its description in RNAcentral is "partial 16S ribosomal RNA". It matches the Rfam family "Bacterial small subunit ribosomal RNA", at positions 29 to 507 of the family's 1533-position model. The record is from RNAcentral.